Molecule: ribosomal RNA, 500 nt
Filed under: uncultured bacterium
Lineage: Bacteria
Description: partial 16S ribosomal RNA
Rfam family: Bacterial small subunit ribosomal RNA
Source: RNAcentral
AUUGAACGCUGGCGGAAUGCUUUACACAUGCAAGUCGAACGGCAGCACGGACUUCGGUCUGGUGGCGAGUGGCGAACGGGUGAGUAAUGUAUCGGAACGUGCCCAGUCGUGGGGGAUAACGUAGUGAAAAUUACGCUAAUACCGCAUACGAUCUAUGGAUGAAAGCGGGGGAUCGCAAGACCUCGCGCGAUUGGAGCGGCCGAUAUCAGAUUAGGUAGUUGGUGGGGUAAAGGCCCACCAAGCCAACGAUCUGUAGCUGGUCUGAGAGGACGAACAGACACACUGGAAGUGGGACACGGGCGAGACUCCUACGGGAGGCAGCAGUGGGGAAUUUUGGACAAUGGGCGAAAGCCUGGUCCAGCCAUUCCGCGUGCAGGAUGAAGGCCCUCGGGUUGUAAACUGCUUUUGUACAGAACGAAAAGGUUUCUACUAAUACUAGGAGCUCAUGACGGUACUGUAAGAAUAAGCACCGGCUAACUACGUGCCAGCCGCCGCCGUAA